Molecule: ribosomal RNA, 496 nt
Filed under: uncultured bacterium
Lineage: Bacteria
Description: partial 16S ribosomal RNA
Rfam family: Bacterial small subunit ribosomal RNA
Source: RNAcentral
GAUGAACGCUGGCGGCGUGCCUAAUACAUGCAAGUCGAGCGAACGGACGAGAAGCUUGCUUCUCUGAUGUUAGCGGCGGACGGGUGAGUAACACGUGGAUAACCUACCUAUAAGACUGGGAUAACUUCGGGAAACCGGAGCUAAUACCGGAUAAUAUUUUGAACCGCAUGGUUCAAAAGUGAAAGACGGUCUUGCUGUCACUUAUAGAUGGAUCCGCGCUGCAUUAGCUAGUUGGUAAGGUAACGGCUUACCAAGGCAACGAUGCAUAGCCGACCUGAGAGGGGGAACGGCCACACUGGAACUGAGACACGGUCCAGACUCCCACGGGAGGCAGCAGUAGGGAAUCUUCCGGGAUGGGCGAAAGCCUGAGGGAGCAACCCCGGGUGAGUGAAGAAGGUCUUCGGAUCGUAAAACUCUUUUAUUAGGGAAGAACAAUUGUGUAAGUAACUGUGCACAUCUUGACGGUACCUAAUCAGAAAGCCACGGCUAACUACGU